GAUAUUUAGAUUUUUCAAGCGCAAUGAUAAAAGACGAUAAUUUCGUUAACCGUCGAGUCGAUUCGGCCCGAACGGCGAAUUACGGAAAAUGGCCCACAAAAACCGGCGGUAUAAUACACACCUCUAGGACAAUACUGCCACAGCUAAAAAAUGUAUAGUCUGAGAAAAAAAAACGAUUUGUAGUUUAUAACUAAGAUAUUCGCCGGUGCUUCGUUCGAAACGAAAAACUCGAAUACUCGCCAACACGCUUUACAGUAUGAUCACUUUUUAAAUAUAAUGAAAUAUUCGCUUAAACCCGAAAAUUCGCACUAAUGGUCUUUAACAAUUUUUCAGGCGAAUGCAAGACUACCGUAUUCUGCGAUGUGACUGUUACAGUGUUGCGUAUUGCGUAUACAACUUAAUUUUAAGAUACACUGAAAUAUGGUAGUGUUGUACUGAACAUAUUGUUAUCGUCAGAAAAUCGUUUU
Cinara cedri is the source of this 467-nucleotide non-coding RNA. Lineage: Eukaryota; Metazoa; Arthropoda; Insecta; Hemiptera; Aphididae. The record is from the annotation of a GenBank genome assembly.